Long non-coding RNA from Apis dorsata (giant honeybee), 397 nucleotides. RefSeq lists it as uncharacterized. Lineage: Eukaryota; Metazoa; Arthropoda; Insecta; Hymenoptera; Apidae. The record is from RefSeq and is a predicted model, not a curated record. The transcript has 2 exons.
AUUUAUAUAAAUUGAUAUGUAAACUCAGAAAUUAUAUAAAAAUUAAUUUCGUUUUUUAAAUGGAAUUUGAUCUGAUUUUUUUCUGUCAGUAAUAGUUUAGAUUCAAUAUAUAAUCUAUUUUAGAUGUCUCACAAUUCUUUAUAUGGAUUAUAAAUGAUAUAACUUCUAUUAUUCAUUAUGUUAAAUAUAAUUAAUUGUAUAAUGAUAUUUCAUUUUAAACAUUAGAAAAUAUAUUGAAAUUGUUACAUAAUUAAAAGUGAUGAGUAGGGCAGAUGCUGCAGUGAUGUCACAUUUGUGAGAAUACGUGAUAUGUCAGGAAGUCAAUAAUAGAAAGGCUGAUGCUCCUAUUAUGGGAUCUCUAUGGGAAUAUGUUAUCGCUAAAGACAUGGAAAUAGGG